ACAGAGGUCCCAAGCGUUGUUCGGAUUUACUGGGCGUAAAGGGUGCGUAGGCGGCGUGGAAAGUUCGGGGUGAAAUCUCCAGGCUCAACUUGGAAACUGCCCAGAAUACUUCCAUGCUAGAGGGUCGCAGAGGAGAUUGGAAUUCUCGGUGUAGCAGUGAAAUGCGUAGAUAUCGAGAGGAACAUCAGUGGCGAAAGCGAAUCUCUGGGCGGCAUCUGACGCUGAGGCACGAAAGCCAGGGGAGCAAACGGGAUUAGAUACCCCGGUAGUCCUGGCCCUAAACGGUGCGCACUUGCUGUGAGCGGAUUUAAAACCCGGUCGUGGCGAAGUUAACACGAUAAGUGCGCCGCCUGAGGAGUACGGUCGCAAGAUUA
Molecule: ribosomal RNA, 374 nt
Filed under: uncultured bacterium
Lineage: Bacteria
Description: bacterial SSU rRNA
Rfam family: Bacterial small subunit ribosomal RNA
Source: RNAcentral